GAUGAACGCUGGCGGCGUGCCUAAUACAUGCAAGUCGAGCGAACAGACGAGGAGCUUGCUCCUCUGACGUUAGCGGCGGACGGGUGAGUAACACGUGGAUAACCUACCUAUAAGACUGGGAUAACUUCGGGAAACCGGAGCUAAUACCGGAUAAUAUAUUGAACCGCAUGGUUCAAUAGUGAAAGACGGUUUUGCUGUCACUUAUAGAUGGAUCCGCGCCGCAUUAGCUAGUUGGUAAGGUAACGGCUUACCAAGGCAACGAUGCGUAGCCGACCUGCGAGGGUGAUCGGCCACACUGGAACUGAGACACGGUCCAGACUCCUACGGGAGGCAGCAGUAGGGAAUCUUCCGCAAUGGGCGAAAGCUUGACGGAGCAACGCCGCGUGAGUGAUGAAGGUCUUCGGAUCGUAAAACUCUGUUAUUAGGGAAGAACAAAUGUGUAAGUAACUAUGCACGUCUUGACGGUACCUAAUCAGAAAGCCACGGCUAACUACGUG
RNAcentral lists this ribosomal RNA (497 nucleotides) under uncultured bacterium. RNAcentral's name for it is "partial 16S ribosomal RNA". It matches the Rfam family "Bacterial small subunit ribosomal RNA", at positions 28 to 507 of the family's 1533-position model. The record is from RNAcentral.